Non-coding RNA from Nicotiana sylvestris (wood tobacco), 116 nucleotides. Lineage: Eukaryota; Viridiplantae; Streptophyta; Magnoliopsida; Solanales; Solanaceae. The record is from Rfam.
GCCGAUGAUGUUUCAAUCCAACUAUGAGGUGUAGUGAAGCCAAGGUCCCUGCUUUGCAGGGGGAACCUCCUUGGUUUUUCUACAUUGAACAUGAUUAAAAUGGGUUUCACUGAGGC